Molecule: long non-coding RNA, 308 nt
Filed under: Mytilus galloprovincialis (Mediterranean mussel)
Lineage: Eukaryota; Metazoa; Mollusca; Bivalvia; Mytilida; Mytilidae
Source: RNAcentral
UUUAUUUUUCUCGGGAAUGCAGGUUGAGAUAAGAUCUACCAGAGAAAAAAAUCUGACACAAUAUGAUUUAUGGGUACUCAAUGCGUCAAGAUGGUCAUUGUCGUCUAAAUUAAAAAAAAAAUAUUUUGAACUGGCAGUUAAUUCUAAUUUAGUUUUCAUUCCGGAUAUCAGCUAAGUGUGGCCCUGCUAUUGCAAGUUUACACAUUACCCACAUUACACUAUGAUAAAAUCCCGAAUUCCCGACUGGCUAUUCCCGAGUUUCCGCGAAUUCCCCAAACCCGAAUUCCUGAAAAAUGUCUUUCCGCCCC